UGGGGAAUAUUGCACAAUGGGCGCAAGCCUGAUGCAGCAACGCCGCGUGAGCGAGGAAGGCCUGGUCGUAAAGCUCUGUCCUUGGGAAGAAGGAAGUGACGGUACCCAAGGAGGAAGCCCCGGCUAACUACGUGCC
RNAcentral lists this ribosomal RNA (136 nucleotides) under uncultured bacterium. RNAcentral's name for it is "partial 16S ribosomal RNA". It matches the Rfam family "Bacterial small subunit ribosomal RNA", at positions 355 to 509 of the family's 1533-position model. The record is from RNAcentral.